AAAAACCCCCGUAAUAUGAAAAACUACAUCUAGUUGGCCGAGAAAUUAACUGUCAAUUUUUCGUUGGAACAAAAGUUGUAUUUCGACCUACAGGCUAGAGAAAUUUCAGUUGCCUUCGAGUCGAGCUACAGGCCGGUCGCAUUUCUCUAACAAAUUUCAAAAAUGUAUCAAAAUUUUUAGUUAAAAAACUACACUGCCGUCGGCACACGGGUUGUUUCCUCGCCAUAAUCCGAGGAAUCCACUCUAAACCUUAAUGUAAAAUUCAUUUUCAAAGGCGUCUAGGUGAAUACAACAAAAAAAAACCCCCGUAAUAUGAAAAACUACAUCUAGUUGGCCGAGAAAUUAACUGUCAAUUUUUCGUUGGAACAAAAGUUGUAUUUCGACCUACAGGCUAGAGAAAUUUCAGUUGCCUUCGAGUCGAGCUACAGGCCGGUCGCAUUUCUCUAACAAAUUUCAAAAAUGUAUCAAAAUUUUUAGUUAAAAAACUACACUGCCGUCGGCCCAAGGGUUGUUUCCUCGCCAUAAUCCGAGGAAUCCAAACCAGGAAACGACAUUGAUAAUGAUUGCCCACAUGAUGCUCCAUAACUGCCGGAGGAUCAUCCAGCUGCAAAAACCAUGACACUGGACUACUUUCUUAAUGGAGCUACCACGAGAAGGAUAUACACUAAAAGUGCAGCCCCCCAAGGCGCGUACACAUUGUUACAGCAACAGUGCCAACGAAAAGUCGGCACACGGCUUGGUUCCUCGCCCGAAUCCGAGGAACCUAAGCCGGGAAAUGACGUUUAUUAUGAUUCGCCACAUCUUCGACCAUAUUCCUCACUACUCAUGAACACGAUGCUUUAUGAAGCCGGAUGGGCACCAGACGACAGCCCAGUUCAGGAGGAUCAGCUGCAAAAACCAUGACACUAGACUGUAAAAGUACAGUCCCCCCAAAGCGCGUACACAUUGUUACAGUUACAUUUCACAAGGCUUGGUUUCUCGACGUUGAUAAUGAUUCGCCACAUUAUCACGAUGCUUUAUAACUGAUACUCCGUUGAAUUGGCUACGAAUUUACAUACUUUACACACGUUGCACGUUAUCUAUUGCGAUUUACAAUUAGUUUUGCCAAUUAACACUACUUAAAAUACGCAGAAUUUGAAAUUGAAUUUGAAUUAACACUAAAUGUACACUAAACCAAAAACAGGUUAUGAACAAUGUUUUGAUAGGAACACUACACACAAGCGUACACUGAAAACACCACAUGUUGUAGCAAAUACACUGAAGACACAAAUAAAAUAUUGUAUGGCUCAACCAAAA
Long non-coding RNA from Drosophila simulans, 1296 nucleotides. RefSeq lists it as uncharacterized. NCBI's taxonomy places the organism in Eukaryota, Metazoa, Arthropoda, Insecta, Diptera, Drosophilidae. The transcript is spliced from 3 exons. The record is from RefSeq and is a predicted model, not a curated record.